GCUUACGGCCACACCGCCUUUUUCACGCUUUAUCUCGGAAGCUAAGAUAGGUUGUGCCUGGUUAGUACUUGGAUGGGAGACCGCCUGGGAAUACCAGGUGCUGUAAGCU
This 109-nucleotide ribosomal RNA is filed under the name Scophthalmus maximus (turbot). Lineage: Eukaryota; Metazoa; Chordata; Actinopteri; Pleuronectiformes; Scophthalmidae. The record is from RNAcentral.